AUAUUUUCAAAAUAGUUUUUGACAUUUUUUUUAAUAUGAAUUUUUGUAUGUUUUAAUGUUAAUUGUGACUUUUUGUAAAAGGAGGUUAAAAGUAAAAUUUCCGUGUUGUUUAUGUCCUGUUGUAAAGUACUUUAUCUGUUUUGCAUGAAGAGAAAUUGUAAUACAUUCCAACUUUGUUGUUAUAUGCAUUUGUUUAGAUUUACCAUAAAAAUGAAGUAUUGUGAGAGAAGCAGUCAAGUGCGCCUUAUGAUUAUGAAUGUAAAUCAAGUUAUCUGGUAAGACCUUAAAAUUAAGAAUUGUAGGUCAAGUACUGGGACAAGAUAAUGCAUGAGGUCUUUUUGUCAACAUAAAUAGUUGUCAUAAAAAUCACAGUAGCAGAAUGUGUUAUUAAUUUAUUUCGAAAUUUACAUUCAAACUUGGCCAGCUGAGGACUUCAUCCAAGUGCCAGAUUUUCUAGCUGCAUUGAAGGCCUAUUAGUGGCCUUAAGCUGUUAUCUACCAUUUGGAGGGAUUGUUGUCUCUGACUUAUUCCCCAUUUCCAUUCUCAAUUUUAUUGAUUUUUAUGGUAUAUUUAAACUUGGUAUAAAAUGUUGGUUAUUGUUAUAAAUAAUUAUUGUUAAUUUUUAAAUUUAAAGAUAUUUAAUUGUUCACACUGAAAAAUAAACCUUUUUCACUUAUGUUAACUUUAAUAAAUGUUUAUUGUAAACAAGAAACCUACUUUUGUGAUAUUUUUUUGUAAUCCUAUUGUUGGGAACAUUGUUAUUUUGUGAAACAAGUACUAUAAUUUAUAAUUCAAUGGGUACUAGUAUUUGUGGAUAUAAGGGGAAAAGGUGAACUAUAAACUCAAAUAUUCAACAAAAGACCUAUUCCAUAUAGGCAAUUAUGCAUAAAUCAUUAAAACCACAAAUUGAAGUACCCUUUAAAUGCACAAAAAUUAGUUGUAUCUCUUUUAUUCCUUUUAAAAAUUUACUUUUAUAUUUUUUUUUAUUGAAUUUGGUAAAAAUCAAACUAAACAGAAUUCUUCAGACAUUUUUUUCAGUUAACUUUUCUGUGAUACAUGAAUUAGAGGCAUGUCAUUUACAGAAUAAAUUCUUUACUCUUGUUCUAUAUAAUUUGAAAAUAGCUUACACUAUGUUUAAAAAUACCAUUGAAAGUUUAUCAUUGUGUAAAUUACAAUCAAUUUGUAUAACUUUAAAGUUUGUUCUAAAGGUCUGGUUGUUUGUGUUUAACACAACUAUAGGUUUUUAUUGUUGUAUUGAGACAAGAGUAUGGGGAGAAACAACAUAUUCAGCAGGUGUAUAAAAUAUGGGCUUUGCUCAUUGUUGAAGGCUGUAGGGUGACAUAGUUUUUAAUUUCUGUGUCAUUUUGGUCUCUUGUGGAGAGUUGUUUCAUUGGCAAUCAUACCACAUCUUCUUUUCUAUUCAUGAUAAACUUAGAAUCUACAGGAGUGCGGCUAAAUUUUUGGAAAACUUUAGUAAGAUUCUGAAGGCUAGUGUAGAUAAUAUUUCCAGACUUUAUAGCAAUUUUUCAAGCAUAGGGUGCUGGCUUGAGGGUAAAGACCAUAAAUGUUAGAUUGAAGACGUUUCUGUGAUUAGUGUCACAGGUUCAAUUAAGAUUGAUUUCAUGUAGAACAUGUGUUUAAAUGUCAAAUCUAACCUUGAGAAUGAGGAAUGACAAUCUAACUUUUAGAAUGAGGAAUUCAAAUACAAUUGAUAGACUGAUGAUGAAAUUUCAACGGUAUUUUUAUACUACCUGUACCUUGUUAACACCAUGAUACUGUUAUAUCUAUAUAUUGUUAUAUCUCAAUAUUUACAAUAAACUAUUUUAUCCAC
RNAcentral lists this long non-coding RNA (1831 nucleotides) under Mytilus galloprovincialis (Mediterranean mussel). Lineage: Eukaryota; Metazoa; Mollusca; Bivalvia; Mytilida; Mytilidae. The record is from RNAcentral.